CUCACACCUCCCACAGCUGCUCAGGUAGAAGUAUAAUAAGAGCAGCGUUGUAUAUAAGGAGGGAACUGAACUCUGCCCAUUAGAAUAAAGAGUGUGGACUCGGCUCCGUGUUUCUGUCUUAAAGCAGGACACAGCAGGUAGGUAAAAACCUACAGAAUCAAGUCUGAGGAGGUGUCGAAGUCCUGGUCCGCUGUAAACGCCUUCGUGUUGACUGCUGAUGCCUCUCCCGCUGAGCAGCUGCAGCAGACGUUAGUUAAUGAUGGCGGAGAGUAACGGCGGCGAGAAGAGGAGGCAGCUGCUCCACAGACUUCCUCAAGUCCAAUUACCAUGAUGACUUACUUGGCGCUGGCUUAAUGCCGCCUGCUGGCUGCUUAUAACCUGACUGGAGGUGUCGAUCGCCUGCAUCCCUUUAUUUCCUCUCUGCUUUUAUUUUCUACUCUCUGCUUUUCCAGACUCAAAAAUGUCCUCACUUCCCCUCAUAUUUCUCUUUCUGAUUCUCAUCAUCGUACAUCAUCUACCCCUGAUGUGCUGCUGUGUCUCUGUUCCAUCUUCAGCUCCUUCAGACGCAGGCCACACAAUUAAUAAACUAUAAUUACCUUAAGCUUGUUAUUUAGGUUGUUAACACGCAUUUAUUAAAACCAAAUAAUAAAAAAUUGAAAAAUAUAAA
Molecule: long non-coding RNA, 667 nt
Organism: Micropterus dolomieu (smallmouth bass)
Lineage: Eukaryota; Metazoa; Chordata; Actinopteri; Centrarchiformes; Centrarchidae
Exons: 2
Source: RefSeq, a predicted model, not a curated record